Molecule: non-coding RNA, 74 nt
Organism: Corchorus olitorius
Lineage: Eukaryota; Viridiplantae; Streptophyta; Magnoliopsida; Malvales; Malvaceae
Source: Rfam
GGCCCCGUAGCUCAGUUGGAUAGAGCGUUGGUCUUAUGAGCCUAAGGUCGCGAGUUCGGUCCUCUCCGGGACCA